Molecule: non-coding RNA, 45 nt
Filed under: Schistosoma haematobium
Lineage: Eukaryota; Metazoa; Platyhelminthes; Trematoda; Strigeidida; Schistosomatidae
Source: RNAcentral
AUCCAGCUGACGAGUCCCAAACAGAACAAAACGAGUGUCCUGGAU